This 116-nucleotide ribosomal RNA is filed under the name Cottoperca gobio. The record is from RNAcentral. Lineage: Eukaryota; Metazoa; Chordata; Actinopteri; Perciformes; Bovichtidae.
ACUUGCCAUACCACUCUGAACACGCCCGAUCUCGUCCGAUCUCGGAACCUAAGCAGGGACAGGCCGGGUCAGUACUUGGAUGGGAGACCGCCUGGGAAUACCCGGUGCUGUAAGCU